UACGUAUGGUGCAAGCGUUAUCCGGAUUUACUGGGUGUAAAGGGAGCGCAGGCGGUGCGGCAAGUCUGAUGUGAAAGCCCGGGGCUCAACCCCGGUACUGCAUUGGAAACUGUCGUACUAGAGUGUCGGAGGGGUAAGCGGAAUUCCUAGUGUAGCGGUGAAAUGCGUAGAUAUUAGGAGGAACACCAGUGGCGAAGGCGGCUUACUGGACGAAAACUGACGCUGAGGCUCGAAAGCGUGGGGAGCAAACAGG
RNAcentral lists this ribosomal RNA (253 nucleotides) under Roseburia faecis M72/1. Its description in RNAcentral is "partial 16S ribosomal RNA". It matches the Rfam family "Bacterial small subunit ribosomal RNA", at positions 524 to 776 of the family's 1533-position model. Lineage: Bacteria; Bacillati; Bacillota; Clostridia; Lachnospirales; Lachnospiraceae. The record is from RNAcentral.